This 495-nucleotide ribosomal RNA is filed under the name uncultured bacterium. RNAcentral describes it as "partial 16S ribosomal RNA". It matches the Rfam family "Bacterial small subunit ribosomal RNA", at positions 28 to 507 of the family's 1533-position model. The record is from RNAcentral.
GACGAACGCUGGCGGCGUGCCUAAUACAUGCAAGUAGAACGCUGACGGAGGAUCUUGCUCUUCUGGAUGAGUUGCGAACGGGUGAGUAACGCGUAGGUAACCUGCCUGGUAGCGGGGGAUAACUAUUGGAAACGAUAGCUAAUACCGCAUAAGAGUAGAUGUUGCAUGACAUUUACUUAAAAGGUGCAAUUGCAUCACUACCAGAUGGACCUGCGUUGUAUUAGCUAGUUGGUGGGGUAACGGCUUACCAAGGCGACGAUACAUAGCCGACCUGAGAGGGUGAUCGGCCACACUGGGACGGAGACACGGCCCAGACUCCUGCGGGAGGCAGCAGUAGGGAAUCUUCGGGAAUGGACGGAAGUCUGACCGAGCAACGCCGGGUGAGAGAAGAAGGUUUUCGGAUCGUAAAGCUCUGUUAUAAGAGAAGAACGAGUGUGAGAGUGGAAAGUUCACACUGUGACGGUAUCUUACCAGAAAGGGACGGCUAACUACGUG